UGAAAUAAUAUCUCAUUUUAUAUAUAUUUAUUUUGUGGUAUAUUUUCACCGCUUAUUGAUCUAAAACGUCAUAUUCGUUCAAAAAAUAAACACAUUCAUUAUCCUUAAAUACAGGGUUUCGAUUACAAGAUUACCUUGUCACAAAGUUCCAUUGUUAUAAGGAGUCAUUAGAAGGUAAAAAUAAACUUUAAAUUAAACAAAAUUUGGAAAACGAAUUCCA
Molecule: non-coding RNA, 220 nt
Organism: Cinara cedri
Lineage: Eukaryota; Metazoa; Arthropoda; Insecta; Hemiptera; Aphididae
Source: the annotation of a GenBank genome assembly